CCUGCAUGAAGGCGGAAUUGCUAGUAAUCGCGAAUCAGAAUGUCGCGGUGAAUACGUUCCCGGGCCUUGUACACACCGCCCGUCACACCAUGAGAGUCGAUAACACCCGAAGCCUGUGAGCUAACCUUAGGGAGGCAGCAGUCGAAGGUGGGGUUGAUGAUUAGGGUGAAGUCGUAACAAGGUAUC
Molecule: ribosomal RNA, 186 nt
Filed under: uncultured bacterium
Lineage: Bacteria
Description: partial 16S ribosomal RNA
Rfam family: Bacterial small subunit ribosomal RNA
Source: RNAcentral